Molecule: long non-coding RNA, 4491 nt
Organism: Zea mays
Lineage: Eukaryota; Viridiplantae; Streptophyta; Magnoliopsida; Poales; Poaceae
Exons: 7
Source: RefSeq, a predicted model, not a curated record
AAAAAAUCCUCAUUUCUCUACUAAACCUUAAGGGUGCACGGAGGGCGUCCACCACCGAACCGUGCCCCCGCCCGCGAGUUUGGCCACGGCGCGCGUCUUCCCCCCCCCCCCACGCGUCGCGCUGCCGUGAUGCCCGCCGCCCGCGCAAUCGACACCGCCCGCGAUCCCCCGGCGCGCGUCUUCCCCCCCCCCACACCCGCGAAUCACGCUCGCACGCGUCGCGCCGCCGUGAUGCCCGCCGCCCGCACAAUCCACAGCCGCCUCUGCAUCCGCCGCAAGAUCCCCCUGCGCUCGCAUGCCCCCGCUCGCCUGCGCCUCCCACGCCCACACACCCAGCCACCGCCGACCACGCUCGCGGAUCUCGCCCACAACAACGCGUGACCGAGCCCCCGCCGCGUCUCCUUCCAUCCUCGCGUAUACGUCGGCGUCUCCUUCCAUAUAUGCCAACGGAGGCGACCGCGGAGGCCGCUCCCCCGCGUGCACAACAUCCCACGUUCCCCUCUCCCCCCAGGUCCUACCGCAGCGCGUUGCUCAGUACCCCAGCCACUGCCCGCUAGCCCCCCCCCCCGCCACACACACACACCCAUCCUCGCCGGCCUCAGCACCGCAAACGACGUCCGCGCGUCACUUCCCCGCCCUUCAAUGGUGUCCUCCUCCCCAUCACUCGGGGGCAGCAAGGCGACCGAUGGGGACGUGUCCAACUUCACUGCCUUCCUCCAGGCCUCACCGAAGUCAUUCGUGGUCGUCGAGUUCUUCACCCACUGGUGCAAUGGUCACCAGCCCAGAAGGUCAUGGUCGACCCACGCGAUGCAACCCAAUUGGAUGAAGCUGGGUUUAGGGGCCUUCUUCGUUGGUUUGACUGAGUUUCUUCUUAGUUAAAUAAAGUGGGGCAAUAUUUUCUCACCGACUUCACAAAGCCGACCAUGGCAGAUGUUAUCGGUUUCGAUCUAGGCACACCGAAUUCAUGCAUCUCCGUAUUGGAAUGAAAGCUCCAUCUGCUGUUCUGGAGGAUGGAACAACAGUGGUGGUCAAGAGAUUGAAGGAAGUGGUGGCGGGAAUGAGGGAAUUUGAACAGCAGAUGGAGCUAAUUGGCAAGGUUUGCCAGCAUCAGAACACUGUCCCAUUGCGUGCUUACUACUACUCCAAGGAUGAGAAGCUCUUGGUGUAUGUCCCACUAGGUAGCCUUUGUGCUGCUUUGCAUGGUAACAAAGCUGCUGGAAGAACCCCAUUGGACUAGGAGACCAGGGUGAAGAUAGCUCUGGGCACUGCACGCGGAAUGGCUUACCUUCACUCCAUGGGUAGCGGCGGGAAGUUCAUUCACGGGAACAUGAAGUCAAGCAACAUCCUUCUCUCAUAGGAACUCGGCGCCUGCGUCACCGAGUUCGGCCUUGCCCAGCUCAUGUCCACGCCCCACGUCCACCCACUGCACGCGGAAUGGCUUACCUUCACUCCGUGUGUCUCAAGUAUGAACGCUUAUGCUUUUCUGGAUCAAUUGAAAUGUCUUUCAUCUUCUAUGACUAUGCAUGUGUUUUUCAAGCAAUACUUGGUACUCGAGCAUCAGAGAUCAUAAAGCUUGUUCCUUUUUGUCUCCAUUUAUCAGUCGAGGGGGAGUCACCAACGAACGACCCACAAUUGGUAAGCCUCGUUAUUCGACUGGAUUUUUUAUUUCACCUCUAGAGAAUACUUCUCAUUACCUAACUGCUUUGUUCUCUUGCCAUUUCUGAUUCUGUUGUUAUGAUACUGAUGGAAUCCUCAUUCGCCGCUGCUAAGGAGUUUGAGCAGGACUAGAGAGGAGACGUCAGUUCUUCCUCCUCCGCUCAGUGCGACCAUUCUCCCUGUCCCUCAACUCUGAACUCUUAGAACAAUGAUGAUCACUGCCACUCCCCGCUCAUUUUUUCUGAAGGGGAAAUAUCCAUCUUCUUGUUGUUUUGUACUAAAACGUCUAUAAUUUGGAACAGAGGAAGUACUAAAAAUGAACAGAAGCAUCACUAUACAGUAUUUUGCAGAAUAUGCUGAAGAAAGGUUAUAAGCUGAUGCUGUCAAAAUAUUUUUUUUGGCAAGGCAGUACAUUGGAGGGGAAAUACCAGAAGCUUGGAGCUCUGCCCUGACUUUCUUGAUCGGCUUGCCAACUGGCUUGUAUUCAUCACCGAAAACCAUUUCUUGUCUUGAGUGUAUUGGUAAAUAAUUUCUGUCAACCUCAAGAUUUUCCUUCAGAGGAUAAGAAGGUGAACAAGAAGCUGACAGCCAAGCUGACCCUAUACUCAGGAUGUGUUGUGCCUUCUGGUGGUGAAACCGUCUCUUUAAGCAACUGAACUGCUUUAAGUAUAACAGAAGAGCUCAGUGAUUUACCCUUUAGAAAAUCCUCUACCUUGCUAGCUCUGAUGGCAUGGUCAGCUCCAUAAGCACCGAACACCAAGCAUAUAUCCUCCAUGAUGUUCUUCCCUGAAGCUGCAUCAGUUGAAGUCCUUGCCAAGAGAGCAGCAUUGACAUAUGAAGCAGCAUUGCCAAAUGGCCGAGGCGCUGCCCGGAAUGUCUCAAAGGUGAUGCCAUCUCAAUCCCACUUUGGGAUGAAUAUGCUGAUCAGCAGGGUCCUAGAAUCACAUGGAGACUGCUGCAAGAACUCCUCCAAAGUAAGGCACAACCUUUUUGGAAGCCGUCUGGAUUGUGACUGUUGUACCUGCAGCCAGUAGCACAGUUGCUAUGUCUGACUCGAAUGGCAACCUCUGCGCCAUGAUUAUGUUGCCACCUAUGGUUGCUGUGUUCCGAACAAAUGGCGAAGCCACUUUGCUUAGGUGAUUGGCAAUUUUUCUGAAGACCAGAUUUCCAUCUGACAACACCUCAAUGGUUGUAGCCUGUAGAGAUGGACACAACCGAUCCAAGCUCAAUUCCCUUAACGCUGCUGUUGAUGACUGAUAGCUCUGGUAUUCCUUUGAUGUCAAUGUACUUGUCAUAGAGGUCCUGAUCCAUGUGUAAGGGAGUUCACUGCCACUCCCCGCUCAUUUUUUCUAAAGGAGAAAUAUCCAUCUUCUUGUUGUUUUGUACCGUUGGAUACUUUAGCAUCAUUCUCAUACUACUAGGAGUGUAGGUAAGGAGUCCACACAUGAGUUUGUAAACACCAUGUGUAAGGGAGUUCACCAACGUGAUGUGCCUCACCUACAGGGGUGCUGCUUUGUCACCACCCUUGUGCCUUGUCCAGGUGCUACUUACUAGCCUCUUAUUUUGUUUCUGAAUUCAGGAUCUUAUGCUGGUCCUACAAGUAACAUUAAAGCACUUCCCUCCCUGUUGGCAUUAAAACCCCUGGCGUGGUUGUUGUGUUGUACUAGACAACCAUCACUUCCAAUUUGUUGUAGUAGCUUUUUCUUGCUACUUCAUGGAUCUUGGGUCUUCGGUUGUUGAGUUAUUUGCUUCAGCAAUUGGGCUUCUGACUUAGAGCUUUUGGAUUUGUAAGCAUUGCUGGUUGUCUUGAAGAAGAUGAUGGUGGGCUCUUCCCACCACUAGCAGCUAUAGAGGAAGGGGAAAUCUGUGGCUGACAAGGGCCCGCCGCCGCAACUGUGGUGGCAGAGAAGGUGGUGGCACAGUUAGGGCAGCCACAAGACCCCAUCAUCUGGGCGAGGCGGUAGCAUCAUACUUGUCAUCAUCCUGUCACAUAGCUUUGGUAUUAUUUCUGGUUUUUGGCUCAUGUGCAUGUUUGUUGGUAUCACUAAUCAUUUUCACUUUAGUUACAAUGAUCGCCUAAAUCCAUGGUUUUUAUUGCCUAUAGUUGUUAAUGUUUCUAUGGUUUUGCAGUAGUUACCUAAAAACUGAAAGUAUAUGAACACUUCUCUAUUUCAGACAAAAAGUUUUGGGGAUUUAUGCUGUUCGUUGGAGACUGUACAUGUGGCCAUAAGUCUAUGUUGGAUCAGAAAUGUGAUUUAUUAUAGUUAAGAAAAUUGAUGUGUAUGAUAUAGACAUUUGAGCUGGGGCUAAUGCCUGUUUACAUCUUAUUAUUGUUGUUGUAUGCUUGUGUGCUUAAUUUGUUGUUUCUAUAGAUUAAUGUGAGGUAUAAUCUUGUUUUCGGCUCUCCUGAUGUUGUAGCUGUUGAGUGCAAGAAAUCACAUGCAAGCUGGGUUGUGUUAGACAACAUUUGAAGCAUGAGGAGAAGCAUUGUGGGGGAGAAGCUUCAGUGCAACAUUGUUGUUGUAUAGGGAUUAACAUCCUCAAGAUCACUUGGAAAACUUUCACAAAAAAACUCGUAAUGCAAGCAUAUGUUUUAUUGGAAAAGUUUUUCAAGCUAGAUUUCUGAAAGCCUCCUCACUGCUUUAGUUAUGCUGAAUUGGAAUUUGCAGCUAGGGGUUUCUCACAAGUAAAUUUCUUAGCUAAAGGUGGAUUUUGGUCUGUUCAUUGACAUGUCCUUUCUGAUGGUGGCGUUGUUUGUUAGCUACAAAAUCAUCAAUCAAAGAUUGUAAUUAUAUUGCGUCAUUGUUUUGUAUCAAUUUUAAGUUGCCGUAGCAA